UGCAGAUGCUGGCAAUCGUAGUGUUGGUAGGACUCCAUCUUUCAGCUUUACUUUAUUCUUAGGUACUGGAAUCCCCAGCAAUUCGUACAUCAGAUUCCUCUCAUAGUCGGAGUCCUUGAAGUGGAGGCUACAAAUUCUUGAAUAAGCAGAAACAGGCGUCCUUCGAUUACAUAAAUCAGCCCACUUUUGCCUUUGCUGUUCAUCUUUGGGAAACCGAUGUAAAAGUACACCAGUUUCAUUGCCAAAACAACCACUAACUGCACACGUGUUGGGCAUGGCGUCGAUAGGGGAAGUAUCGCGAUGGCGAGCGGACACGACCGCAGUCCCACACAACCAUGACUCCAGAGCGGCUGAGCUCAGUAUACCCCACGAUACGUCAUAACGGUUGAUGCGCGGGAAGGGACGGUUUUAUUCAUAAGAGUGUCCCAACAUGUUACUACAUAGACAUUGGCUGUGGCGGAGCACGGCCACGCUGUCUUCUUGGUGUAUUACGCGUUGUACACUUGUUUCUUUUGGGAUAUUAAUGCGAGAUUACACAUUCAACUCUUCAUAUGAAAUUAAAAUUCAAGAAUGGUAUGAAUAAUCAGAAUAACUGACACCCAAAACCUGAUGAAGUUUUACUUAGGCGGAUCUGUUGUCAGUCCACGGGUUCCUUGUGUUUUGGUUUGUUUAUAAACCGAGGACGGAUUCAUGCAGGUGUUCCAUUUACCCCGAGCAAACCCAAACACAUUUCAGGAUUCAACCCGAACCUGGAUCCGGGUUUUGUAUUUAAUAUGACAACAUGCCAACACCUGAUCAGCUAAGCAUAUAGAGUGUGUGUGUGUGUGUGUGUGUGUGUGUGUGUGUGUGUGUGUGUGUGUGUUCAUUUUACGUGCUAUAUAUGUGUGUGUUUGUGUGUGUGUGUGUGUGUGUGUGUGUGUGUGUGGGGGUUAGUGCUGAGUUGUGUUGUCUUACUACACGACCUAGUUAGUAACACUUUAAAGCAAAGGACAAAUACUACUGAAAAAUCACGAGCUGAAAAAACUGGUUACCAAUUUUCCAAUUAUAUCCAUUCAUUAUUAAUGAUGUUGAUUUAUUUUCAGCAGAUUCUUCUAUGCACGACCCACAACCACAACUCUCCAGACCCAAGGAAGACCCACAGGAUCCACAGCAGCCCAUCAUUGCCAGAGCUGACCCACAGCUGCCCUUUGCCAGAGCUGACCCACAACUGCCCUUUGCCAGAGCUGACCCACAACUGCCCUUUGCCAGGGCUGACCCACAACUGCCCUUUGCCAGAGCUGACCCACAACUGCCCUUUGCCAGAGGUGAACCACAACUGCCCUUUGCCAGAGGUGAACCACAACUGCCCUUUGCCAGAGGUGAACCACCCCCCAAAAAGAAUGGAGUUUGAGUAAAAGUAAAUAUUUUAAACGGCUUUAUGGUUAUGAGAGGAGUACUCUGAUGUACGUUCCAUGCUCUUUUCUUAGUCUCAAAAUGCAGUAUAAUGUUGCCGUUUCUCGGCCAGUUCUCGGCUUUUCCAUAGCCGAAGCCCACGGGUUAAACUAACUGGCAUACACUAACUUACUGCUCAAAUGGACCGCAGUUUCAAAACACCAAACACGAUAUUUCUCUACAACUACUGCUUCACUCCCACCGCCGCCCCCUACUCCAUCCCGCGCUGGGUAUGCCAAUGGCCCACACUGAAUGUCGAAUAUAUUUAAACUACCCCUACCCAACUUUACAUAACCUAACCUCUAACUGAGGGCUUGGCCCCCCUCGACCCCCCUCUUAACCAAGAGGGGCUUCGCUCCCACUGGACCCCCCCCUUCCCCCAUAUAAUAACGAUCUUGGGGGACCCGUGAGAAUUCAAGGGGUUCUGGUGUGGGAGCAUAUUUAAACUUUUCCAACCGAACUUUAUGACCUAACUAACUGAGGGGGGCUUCGCCCACCUCGACCCCUCUCCUAACCAAGGGGGGCUUGGCCCCCCCCUAGACCCCCCUCCCCCUACAUAACCGCGAACUGACUGUUACAAACGUAGCGCAGUGCCCGCGAUGGUGCGGAUGAUAAACAAUGCCCAGUGACAGUCAUGCCAAAAGGGCCGCGGUGGAAUUUAGCACCUCGCCGCUACCCCUCCAAGU
Long non-coding RNA from Eriocheir sinensis (Chinese mitten crab), 2117 nucleotides. RefSeq lists it as uncharacterized. NCBI's taxonomy places the organism in Eukaryota, Metazoa, Arthropoda, Malacostraca, Decapoda, Varunidae. The record is from RefSeq and is a predicted model, not a curated record. The transcript has 3 exons.